AAGAGAAGAAGUGUAGUAACUGGUAUACAUUUUUGAGUGUACACGUUAAAAAAAAUGCCCUGAUAACAUGGUAAAGACGUUGUUGAAAACGAGUUUAAGAGAUUUACAUGAAAAAGAAAUUUUCGUUCCUUCAGUUAACCCUUAUGUAUGCAAAUGUACGAUAAAAUGGCAAAAUUUCAAAACAAUGUUGUGGUGUUUACCGGAAUUACUGAUCCCUGAUUUUAAGUAAAAAUGAUUUGUGUGACCCUCGUUUCAAAUACUUACCCUAUCUGAGAGUAAAAGUUGCAGUGGUUAAAAGUGCAUGAGGUGACAAAGUAAUCGUGGAAGAUUUAUUACGAAUUAUGGAUAUUUGUGUGACCUUUCCUUGUGUUUCUAUGCAGAGCUAGGCUUCUAUUCAUGCUAUUUAGCAUAAAGGUUGCAAUAAGCUGCACAGGCAGUCUUAAUAUUAUGUCCCCUGAGUGUAAGAGAAAUCAACUAUGGUAAUCCCUUCAUUUAAUUGAAAAAAAAAGUGUAAUCAUGUUUAAACCAGAGUAUGUAAAGUGAGGAAUUGAGUAAAAAAGGAAAGAGUUCGGUUAAUAAGUUAAUGACAUUCUGAGCAAUUGGAGUUUCCCUGAUAAUAUGGUUAAAAAUAUCAUUAAAUAAUACAUCGAAAGAUUGAGUUAGUUCAGAAGUGUGACGUUGUUAAGUGUGACCCUUUCUUAAAUCUAGGUGAGAUAUUUUUAAUUUCGCACCCUGUUCCCGUAAUCAGUGAUAUCUGGUAAAUAUGGUUUUUAAACGAUCUUGAAUAAGCAGCAUAGGCAAAUUUUGCCCUGACUGUAUUAAUUAAUACUACGAUUUUAAUAGUAGAGAGAGAGAGAGAUUUUAAUGAUUUCCCUACAAAUGUGUAUCUCAUAGGUUUUUAAAGAAUGACUAAGUCCCGUUUUAAGCGCCUUGUUACGGAAAACGUUCUGAUGUAAAUUGGUACUAAGUCUGUAUUAUGUGAACAAAUUCGAGUUAAAAAAUCCCCGUGUUAUGUCCUAGGAAGAAUCGUGUCCUGUUUCGUAAUUUUACCCUCAGAGUUUAAAAGAAUGUAAUUUAGGUUGGUUGCGUCAGUUCAAACAAUAUGUCCUUCACUUCAGAUGCCCUUUGUGAGUAAUUAAAAGAAACAAGGUUUUACAGAAUUUAAUGAAAAGUGAUCCCAAAAGAAGAGUUCUAUUAAACAGUGAAAACGGUGUGGUUUUGAGAUAAUCUGUUAAAUAAGUUCUUCGAUGAGACCGAAUUAGUUAGAAUGUGGUAAUCAAUGCUAUAAGUGUGCAAUUUUGUGUUGCGGAAAUUAUGUGGCCCUUUUUUGAAAUACCGAGCUAAAAAAAAUAGAGUAAUUUUAAGGUGUUUAGAAAAGCCCAUUUUAAUGAACUUUGUGGUAGUUUCUGAAAUAAGUGAGGUGUUGAGUGUUACAAAUAUACGAUUGUGUUGUGUGACCCAUUCUUCGAGUUCACGUCCCAUGAUGCGUUAUAGUUUUACAAAACGGUUUUAACUAACUGCGUUAUCGGUUCUUAAAAUUCUGUGCCCUGGUGUAAAAAAACAAAUUAACGACCACAAGCGUUGCAAAAAUAGUAAACAUUGAUGGUUUUAACACAAGUUGUGUAAAGAGAAGAAGUGUAGUAACUGGUAUACAUUUUUGAGUGUACACGUUAAAAAAAAUGCCCUGAUAACAUGGUAAAAGACGUUGUUGAAAACGAGUUUAAGAGAUUUACAUGAAAAAGAAAUUUUCGUUCCUUCAGUUAACCCUUAUGUAUGCAAAUGUACGAUAAAAUGGCAAAAUUUCAAAACAAUGUUGUGGUGUUUACCGGAAUUACUGAUCCCUGAUUUUAAGUAAAAAUGAUUUGUGUGACCCUCGUUUCAAAUACUUACCCUAUCUGAGAGUAAAAGUUGCAGUGGUUAAAAGUGCAUGAGGUGACAAAGUAAUCGUGGUAGAUUUAUUACGAAUUAUGGAUAUUUGUGUGACCUUUCCUUGUGUUUCUAUGCAGAGCUAGGCUUCUAUUCAUGCUAUUUAGCAUAAAGGUUGCAAUAAGCUGCACAGGCAGUCUUAAUAUUAUGUCCCGAGUGUAAGAGAAAUCAACUAUGGUAAUCCCUUCAUUUAAUUGAAAAAAAAGUGUAAUCAUGUUUAAACCAGAGUAUGUAAAGUGAGGAAUUGAGUAAAAAAGGAAAGAGUUCGGUUAAUAAGUAUUAAAGGACAUUCUGAGCAAUUGGAGUUUCCCUGAUAAUAUGGUUAAAAAUAUCAUUAAAUAAUACAUCGAAAGAUUGAGUUAGUUCAGAAAUGUGACGUUGUUAAGUGUGACCCUUUCUUAAGUCUAGGUGAGAUAUUUUUUAAUUUCGCACCCUGUUCCCGUAAUCAGUGAUAUCUGGUAAAUAUGGUUUUUAAACGAUCUUGAAUAAGCAGCAGAGGCAAAUUUUGCCCUGACUGUAUUAAUUAAUACUACGAUUUUAAUAGUAGAGAGAGAGAGAGAUUUUAAUGAUUUCCCUACAAAUGUGUAUCUCAUAGGUUUUUAAAGAAUGACUAAGUCCCGUUUUAAGCGCCUUGUUACGGAAAACGUUCUGAUGUAAAUUGGUACUAAGUCUGUAUUAUGUGAAAUAAUUCGAGUUAAAAAAUCCCCGUGUUAUGUCCUAGGAAGAAUCGUGUCCUGUUUCGUAAUUUUACCCUCAGAGUUUAAAAGAAUGUAAUUUAGGUUGGUUGCGUCAGUUCAAACAAUAUGUCCUUCACUUAAGAUGCCCUUUCUGAGUAAUUAAAAGAAACAAGGUUUUACAUAAUUUAAUGAAAAGUGAUCCCAAAAGAAGAGUUCUAUUAAACAGUGAAAACGGUGUGGUUUUGAGAUAAUCUGUUAAAUAAGUUCUUCGAUGAGACCGAAUUAGUUAGAAUGUGGUAAUCAAUGCUAUAAGUGUGCAAUUUUGUGUUGCGGAAAUUAUGUGGCCCUUUUUUGAAAUACCGAGCUAAAAAAAUAGAGUAAUUUUAACGUGUUUAGAAAAGCCCAUUUUAAUGAACUUUGUGGUAGUUUCUUAAAUAAGUGAGGUGUUGAGUGUUACAAAUAUACGAUUGAGUUGUGUGACCCAUUCUUCGAGUUCACGUCCCAUGAUGCGUUAUAGUUUUACAAAACGGUUUUAACUAACUGCGUUAUCGGUUCUGAAAAUUCUGUGCCCUGGUGUAAAAAAACAAAAUAACGACCACAAGCGUUGCAAAAAUAGUAAACAUUGUGAUGGUUUUAACACAAGUUGUGUAAAGAGAAGAAGUGUAGUAACUGGUAUACAUUUUUGAGUGUACACGUUAAAAAAAAUGCCCUGAUAACAUGGUAAAAGACGUUGUUGAAAACGAGUUUAAGAGAUUUACAUGAAAAAGAAAUUUUCGUUCCUUCAGUUAACCCUUAUGUAUGCAAAUGUACGAUAAAAUGGCAAAAUUUCAAAACAAUGUUGUGGUGUUUACCGGAAUUACUGAUCCCUGAUUUUAAGUAAAAAUGAUUUGUGUGACCCUCGUUUCAAAUACUUACCCUAUCUGAGAGUAAAAGUUGCAGUGGUUAAAAGUGCAUGAGGUGACAAAGUAAUCGUGGAAGAUUUAUUACGAAUUAUGGAUAUUUGUGUGACCUUUCCUUGUGUUUCUAUGCAGAGCUAGGCUUCUAUUCAUGCUAUUUAGCAUAAAGGUUGCAAUAAGCUGCACAGGCAGUCUUAAUAUUAUGUCCCCUGAGUGUAAGAGAAAUCAACUAUGGUAAUCCCUUCAUUUAAUUGAAAAAAAAAGUGUAAUCAUGUUUAAACCAGAGUAUGUAAAGUGAGGAAUUGAGUAAAAAAGGAAAGAGUUCGGUUAAUAAGUUAAUGACAUUCUGAGCAAUUGGAGUUUCCCUGAUAAUAUGGUUAAAAAUAUCAUUAAAUAAUACAUCGAAAGAUUGAGUUAGUUCAGAAGUGUGACGUUGUUAAGUGUGACCCUUUCUUAAAUCUAGGUGAGAUAUUUUUAAUUUCGCACCCUGUUCCCGUAAUCAGUGAUAUCUGGUAAAUAUGGUUUUUAAACGAUCUUGAAUAAGCAGCAUAGGCAAAUUUUGCCCUGACUGUAUUAAUUAAUACUACGAUUUUAAUAGUAGAGAGAGAGAGAGAUUUUAAUGAUUUCCCUACAAAUGUGUAUCUCAUAGGUUUUUAAAGAAUGACUAAGUCCCGUUUUAAGCGCCUUGUUACGGAAAACGUUCUGAUGUAAAUUGGUACUAAGUCUGUAUUAUGUGAACAAAUUCGAGUUAAAAAAUCCCCGUGUUAUGUCCUAGGAAGAAUCGUGUCCUGUUUCGUAAUUUUACCCUCAGAGUUUUAAAAGAAUGUAAUUUAGGUUGGUUGCGUCAGUUCAAACAAUAUGUCCUUCACUUCAGAUGCCCUUUGUGAGUAAUUAAAAGAAACAAGGUUUUACAGAAUUUAAUGAAAAGUGAUCCCAAAAGAAGAGUUCUAUUAAACAGUGAAAACGGUGUGGUUUUGAGAUAAUCUGUUAAAUAAGUUCUUCGAUGAGACCGAAUUAGUUAGAAUGUGGUAAUCAAUGCUAUAAGUGUGCAAUUUUGUCUUGCACUUGUUUUGAAAUUAUGUGGCCCUUUUUUGAAAUACCGAGCUAAAAAAAUAGAGUAAUUUUAAGGUGUUUAGAAAAGCCCAUUUUAAUGAACUUUGUGGUAGUUUCUGAAAUAAGUGAGGUGUUGAGUGUUACAAAUAUACGAUUGAGUUGUGUGACCCAUUCUUCGAGUUCAUGUCCCAUGAUGCGUUAUAGUUUUACAAAACGGUUUUAACUAACUGCGUUAUCGGUUCUUAAAAUUCUAUGCCCUGGUGUAAAAAAACAAAAUAACGACCACAAGCGUUGCAAAAAUAGUAAACAUUGUGAUGGUUUUAACACAAGUUGUGUAAAGAGAAGAAGUGUAGUAACUGGUAUACGUUUUUGAGUGUACACGUUAAAAAAAAUGCCCUGAUAACAUGGUAAAAGACGUUGUUGAAAACGAGUUUAAGAGAUUUACAUGAAAAAGAAAUUUUCGUUCCUUCAGUUAACCCUUAUGUAUGCAAAUGUACGAUAAAAUGGCAAAAUUUCAAAACAAUGUUGUGGUGUUUACCGGAAUUACUGAUCCCUGAUUUUAAGUAAAAAUGAUUUGUGUGACCCUCGUUUCAAAUACUUACCCUAUCUGAGAGUAAAAGUUGCAGUGGUUAAAAGUGCAUGAGGUGACAAAGUAAUCGUGGUAGAUUUAUUACGAAUUAUGGAUAUUUGUGUGACCUUUCCUUGUGUUUCUAUGCAGAGCUAGGCUUCUAUUCAUGCUAUUUAGCAUAAAGGUUGCAAUAAGCUGCACAGGCAGUCUUAAUAUUAUGUCCCGAGUGUAAGAGAAAUCAACUAUGGUAAUCCCUUCAUUUAAUUGAAAAAAAAAGUGUAAUCAUGUUUAAACCAGAGUAUGUAAAGUGAGGAAUUGAGUAAAAAAGGAAAGAGUUCGGUUAAUAAGUUAAUGACAUUCUGAGCAAUUGGAGUUUCCCUGAUAAUAUGGUUAAAAAUAUCAUUAAAUAAUACAUCGAAAGAUUGAGUUAGUUCAGAAAUGUGACGUUGUUAAGUGUGACCCUUUCUUAAGUCUAGGUGAGAUAUUUUUAAUUUCGCACCCUGUUCCCGUAAUCAGUGAUAUCUGGUAAAUAUGGUUUUUAAAACGAUCUUGAAUAAGCAAGCAGAAGGGGCAAAUUUUGCCCUGACUAUAGCAAUUAAUACUACGAUUUUAAUAGUAGAGAGAGAGAGAGAGAUUUUAAUGAUUUCCCUACAAAUGUGUAUCUCAUAGGUUUUUAAAGAAUGACUAAGUCCCGUUUUAAGCGCCUUGUUACGGAAAAACGUUCUGAUGUAAAUUGGUACUAAGUCUGUAUUAUGUGAACCAAUUCGAGUUAAAAAAUCCCCGUGUUAUGUCCUAGGAAGAAUCGUGUCCUGUUUCGUAAUUUUACCCUCAGCGUUUAAAAGAAUGUAAUUUAGGUUGGUUGCGUCAGUUCAAACAAUAUGUCCUUCACUUAAGAUGCCCUUUGUGAGUAAUUAAAAGAAACAAGGUUUUACAGAAUUUAAUGAAAAGUGAUCCCAAAAGAAGAGUUCUAUUAAACAGUGAAAACGGUGUGGUUUUGAGAUAAUCUGUUAAAUAAGUUCUUCGAUGAGACCGAAUUAGUUAGAAUGUGGUAAUCAAUGCUAUAAGUGUGCAAUUUUGUGUUGCGGAAAUUAUGUGGCCCUUUUUUGAAAUACCGAGCUAAAAAAAUAGAGUAAUUUUAACGUGUUUAGAAAAGCCCAUUUUAAUGAACUUUGUGGUAGUUUCUGAAAUAAGUGAGGUGUUGAGUGUUACAAAUAUACGAUUGAGUUGUGUGACCCAUUCUUCGAGUUCAUGUCCCAUGAUGCGUUAUAGUUUUACAAAACGGUUUUAACUAACUGCGUUAUCGGUUCUUAAAAUUCUAUGCCCUGGUGUAAAAAAACAAAAUAACGACCACAAGCGUUGCAAAAAUAGUAAACAUUGUGAUGGUUUUAACACAAGUUGUGUAAAGAGAAGAAGUGUAGUAACUGGUAUACGUUUUUUGAGUGUACACGUUAAAAAAAAUGCCCUGAUAACAUGGUAAAAAGACGUUGUUGAAAACGAGUUUAAGAGAUUUACAUGAAAAAGAAAUUUUCGUUCCUUCAGUUAACCCUUAUGUAUGCAAAUGUACGAUAAAAUGGCAAAAUUUCAAAACAAUGUUGUGGUGUUUACCGGAAUUACUGAUCCCUGAUUUUAAGUAAAAAUGAUUUGUGUGACCCUCGUUUCAAAUACUUACCCUAUCUGAGAGUAAAAGUUGCAGUGGUUAAAAGUGCAUGAGGUGAGAAAGUAAUCGUGGUAGAUUUAUUACGAAUUAUGGAUAUUUGUGUGACCUUUCCUUGUGUUUCUAUGCAGAGCUAGGCUUCUAUUCAUGCUAUUUAGCAUAAAGGUUGCAAUAAGCUGCACAGGCAGUCUUAAUAUUAUGUCCCCUGAGUGUAAGAGAAAUCAACUAUGGUAAUCCCUUCAGUUUAAUUUGAAAACAAAGUGUAAUCAUGUUUAAACCAGAGUAUGUAAAGUGAGGAAUUGAGUAAAAAAGGAAAGAGUUCGGUUAAUAAGUUAAUGACAUUCUGAGCAAUUGGAGUUUCCCUGAUAAUAUGGUUAAAAAUAUCAUUAAAUAAUACAUCGAAAGAUUGAGUUAGUUCAGAAAUGUGACGUUGUUAAGUGUGACCCUUUCUUAAGUCUAGGUGAGAUAUUUUUAAUUUCGCACCCUGUUCCCGUAAUCAGUGAUAUCUGGUAAAUAUGGUUUUUAAACGAUCUUGAAUAAGCAGCAGAGGCAAAUUUUGCCCUGACUAUAGCAAUUAAUACUACGAUUUUAAUAGUAGAGAGAGAGAGAGAUUUUAAUGAUUUCCCUACAAAUGUGUAUCUCAUAGGUUUUUAAAGAACGACUAAGUCCCGUUUUAAGCGCCUUGUUACGGAAAACGUUCUGAUGUAAAUUGGUACUAAGUCUGUAUUAUGUGAACCAAUUCGAGUUAAAAAAUCCCCGUGUUAUGUCCUAGGAAGAAUCGUGUCCUGUUUCGUAAUUUUACCCUCAGAGUUUAAAAGAAUGUAAUUUAGGUUGGUUGCGUCAGUUCAAACAAUAUGUCCUUCACUUAAGAUGCCCUUUGUGAGUAAUUAAAAGAAACAAGGUUUUACAUAAUUUAAUGAAAAGUGAUCCCAAAAGAAGAGUUCUAUUAAACAGUGAAAACGGUGUGGUUUUGAGAUAAUCUGUUAACUAAGUUCUUCGAUGAGACCGAAUUAGUUAGAAUGUGGUAAUCAAUGCUAUAAGUGUGCAAUUUUGUGUUGCGGAAAUUAUGUGGCCCUUUUUUGAAAUACCGAGCUAAAAAAAAAUAGAGUAAUUUUAAGGUGUUUAGAAAAGCCCAUUUUAAUGAACUUUGUGGUAGUUUCUGAAAUAAGUGGGGUGUUGAGUGUUACAAAUAUACGAUUGUGUUGUGUGACCCAUUCUUCGAGUUCAUGUCCCAUGAUGCGUUAUAGUUUUACAAAACGGUUUUAACUAACUGCGUUAUCGGUUCUUAAAAUUCUAUGCCCUGGUGUAAAAAAAACAAAAUAACGACCACAAGCGUUGCAAAAAUAGUAAACAUUGUGAUGGUUUUAACACAAGUUGUGUAAAGAGAAGAAGUGUAGUAACUGGUAUACAUUUUUGAGUGUACACGUUAAAAAAAAAUGCCCUGAUAACAUGGUAAAAGACGUUGUUGAAAACGAGUUUAAGAGAUUUACAUGAAAAAGAAAUUUUCGUUCCUUCAGUUAACCCUUAUGUAUGCAAAUGUACGAUAAAAUGGCAAAAUUUCAAAACAAUGUUGUGGUGUUUACCGGAAUUACUGAUCCCUGAUUUUAAGUAAAAAUGAUUUGUGUGACCCUCGUUUCAAAUACUUACCCUAUCUGAGAGUAAAAGUUGCAGUGGUUAAAAGUGCAUGAGGUGACAAAGUAAUCGUGGAAGAUUUAUUACGAAUUAUGGAUAUUUGUGUGACCUUUCCUUGUGUUUCUAUGCAGAGCUAGGCUUCUAUUCAUGCUAUUUAGCAUAAAGGUUGCAAUAAGCUGCACAGGCAGUCUUAAUAUUAUGUCCCCUGAGUGUAAGAGAAAUCAACUAUGGUAAUCCCUUCAUUUAAUUGAAAAAAAAAAGUGUAAUCAUGUUUAAACCAGAGUAUGUAAAGUGAGGAAUUGAGUAAAAAAGGAAAGAGUUCGGUUAAUAAGUUAAUGACAUUCUGAGCAAUUGGAGUUUCCCUGAUAAUAUGGUUAAAAAUAUCAUUAAAUAAUACAUCGAAAGAUUGAGUUAGUUCAGAAGUGUGACGUUGUUAAGUGUGACCCUUUCUUAAAUCUAGGUGAGAUAUUUUUAAUUUCGCACCCUGUUCCCGUAAUCAGUGAUAUCUGGUAAAUAUGGUUUUUAAACGAUCUUGAAUAAGCAGCAUAGGCAAAUUUUGCCCUGACUGUAUUAAUUAAUACUACGAUUUUAAUAGUAGAGAGAGAGAGAGAGAUUUUAAUGAUUUCCCUACAAAUGUGUAUCUCAUAGGUUUUUAAAGAAUGACUAAGUCCCGUUUUAAGCGCCUUGUUACGGAAAACGUUCUGAUGUAAAUUGGUACUAAGUCUGUAUUAUGUGAACAAAUUCGAGUUAAAAAAUCCCCGUGUUAUGUCCUAGGAAGAAUCGUGUCCUGUUUCGUAAUUUUACCCUCAGAGUUUAAAAGAAUGUAAUUUAGGUUGGUUGCGUCAGUUCAAACAAUAUGUCCCUUCACUUCAGAUGCCCUUUGUGAGUAAUUAAAAGAAACAAGGUUUUACAGAAUUUAAUGAAAAGUGAUCCCAAAAGAAGAGUUCUAUUAAACAGUGAAAACGGUGUGGUUUUGAGAUAAUCUGUUAAAUAAGUUCUUCGAUGAGACCGAAUUAGUUAGAAUGUGGUAAUCAAUGCUAUAAGUGUGCAAUUUUGUGUUGCGGAAAUUAUGUGGCCCUUUUUUGAAAUACCGAGCUAAAAAAAAUAGAGUAAUUUUAAGGUGUUUAGAAAAGCCCAUUUUAAUGAACUUUGUGGUAGUUUCUGAAAUAAGUGAGGUGUUGAGUGUUACAAAUAUACGAUUGAGUUGUGUGACCCAUUCUUCGAGUUCACGUCCCAUGAUGCGUUAUAGUUUUACAAAACGGUUUUAACUAACUGCGUUAUCGGUUCUGAAAAUUCUGUGCCCUGGUGUAAAAAAACAAAAUAACGACCACAAGCGUUGCAAAAAUAGUAAACAUUGUGAUGGUUUUAACACAAGUUGUGUAAA
Long non-coding RNA from Uloborus diversus, 9790 nucleotides. RefSeq lists it as uncharacterized. The record is from RefSeq and is a predicted model, not a curated record. Lineage: Eukaryota; Metazoa; Arthropoda; Arachnida; Araneae; Uloboridae. The transcript has 2 exons.